Long non-coding RNA from Hyla sarda, 1282 nucleotides. RefSeq lists it as uncharacterized. The transcript is spliced from 3 exons. The record is from RefSeq and is a predicted model, not a curated record. Lineage: Eukaryota; Metazoa; Chordata; Amphibia; Anura; Hylidae.
GAAAGAAAGUUACCAAGCAAGGUACGCUGCAAAAAUUCUAUUUUACCCAGUGCCAUGAAUCCUCCCAAGAUGGCGCCGAAAAUGAGCUGGUCCCGGAGCCUCUGCUUCCCCAGGCUGCACAUGCAGCUUCAGCGCUACACAGGUGCUCUAAUUCAGACCCAGCACUGCAUUUCAGGCACCUUCCGUCUGCCGCAAAAUCCCCUGCCUCUGCUCCACCGUUACCCGCAUCAUCACUGGGAUGCAAUCAGCAGAUACUCGGGGCUGAAAAUACAGCAUGGCCCCGCUUUAUGCCUGGGCCUCAGAGAUCACCACCGCUCAGCCCUCUGCAACAGGAGGUACACAGCUCUCCCCAGCCUACUCACCAUGCACUCCUGCCAUGGGGCGAUGAUUAACCCCCUGCAUACCAUGUGGAAGACCUUGGUAACACAGUCUUUGCAUAUCCACCCUUGAAAAAGGGAACGCUGCUCCCCAAAAUGCGUCUAGUCCAAGACUGCCUUUGCACAAGAAGUCAGGACUAUUUGGAUUAUUUGUCCACCACUUUUGGUCUUUUACUGCCCUCUCAGCUUCUCCCCAUGCCGUCCGGGUAGAGAGGGAUUCCACACCAAAGACCUCCAGCGCUGCCACACGCUACAGACGAACAUUACCUUUUCCAGCGGACUACGCAAUAACCAUCUGUACCGGACAUCUUCACCUCUCCUACACCUUCCCCGCGCUGCCGGGGCUGAGAGGCAUCAAUCCGGAUCACCGUUAAGUGCUGCUAUGUGCAUAUGACUGCUUUCGCCAGAGCCGUGAGCGGUCUGUGGCAAGGGCCCUGCCCCCGACCUCACAGUAUUAUUCAAUAAAUGCCAGCACGGCCAGCACACAGGAAAAACCCAUACAGGACACCAUAAAAUUAUCUUUAUGGACCUGAGGAAGGCGUGAGAACACGCCGAAACGCGUUGUCCAGUUGUUACUUUUAUUCAUAAUAAAAAAGUUCCUGUGUACCUUUGGCAUCUUCGCAUAAUUUUACCAUCACAGUAGCGCUCGGAGGUCAGAACCUCCGCAUAUUCUGCACUUACUCUACAAUAUUGUUUCACCAGGUUGUUAUUUUACUUCAGUUUAUUGUAUUACGAUAAUGUUUGCUCUCACACCACAUUUGUGAGCACAUGUGGCCCCGCUUUGUAUCUUGGACAUAUGGAAUUGACAUUGUCAUUAUUUCCUUGUUUUGUAAUGUUUUACUGUAUGAUUGUUGUACAAAAAAUUUUAUAAAAAAUAAAUAAAUCAAUUCUUCAAUAAAAAUGUA